RNAcentral lists this ribosomal RNA (460 nucleotides) under uncultured bacterium. RNAcentral describes it as "partial 16S ribosomal RNA". It matches the Rfam family "Bacterial small subunit ribosomal RNA", at positions 338 to 795 of the family's 1533-position model. The record is from RNAcentral.
CCUACGUGUGGCAGCAGUGAGGAAUAUUGGUCAAUGGACGAGAGUCUGAACCAGCCAAGUAGCGUGAAGGAUGACUGCCCUAUGGGUUGUAAACUUCUUUUAUAUGGGAAUAAAAUGUUCCACGUGUGGGAUUUUGUAUGUACCAUAUGAAUAAGGAUCGGCUAACUCCGUGCCAGCAGCCGCGGUAAUACGGAGGAUCCGAGCGUUAUCCGGAUUUAUUGGGUUUAAAGGGAGCGUAGGUGGAUUGUUAAGUCAGUUGUGAAAGUUUGCGGCUCAACCGUAAAAUUGCAGUUGACACUGGAAGUCGUGAGUACAGUAGAGGUGAGCGGAAGUGGUGGUGUAGCGGUGAAAUGCUUAGAUAUCACGAAGAACUCCGAUUGCGAAGGCAGUUCACUGGACUGCAACUGACACUGAGGCUCGAAAGUGUGGGUAUCAAACAGGAUUAGAUACCACAGUAGUC